CGGGAGGCAGGCAGUACGGAUCUCGGCCAAUGAACGGAAGGUCUGACCGAGCACCGUCGCUGAGCGAUGGAUGGCAUCGGGUCGUAAGCUCUGUGUCCAGAGAAGAACAAGUACCGAGUACUGCCGGUACCUUGACGGUACCUGACCAGAAAGCCACGGCUAACUACGUGCCAGCAGCCGCGGUAAUACGUAGGUGGCAAGCGUUAUCGGGAAUUAUUGGGCGUAAAGCGCGCGCAGGCGGUUCUUUAAGUCUGAUGUGAAAGCCCACGGCUCAACCGUGGAGGGUCAUUGGAAACUGGGGAACUUGAGUGCAGGAGAGAAAAGUGGAAUUCCACGUGUAGCGGUGAAAUGCGUAGAGAUGUGGAGGAACACCAGUGGCGAAGGCGGCUUUUUGGCCUGUAACUGACGCUGAGGCGCGAAAGCGUGGGGAGCAAACAGGAUUAGAUACCCUGGUAGUCCACGCCGUAAACGAUGAGUGCUAGGUGUUGGGGGGUUCCACCCUCAGUGCUGACGUUAACACAUUAAGCACUCCGCCUGGGGAGUACGGCCGCAAGGCUGAAACUCAAAGGAAUUGACGGGGGCCCGCACAAGCAGUGGAGCAUGUGGUUUAAUUCGAAGCAACGCGAAGAACCUUACCAGGUCUUGACAUCCUCUGACCACUCUAGAGAUAGAGCUUUCCCCUUCGGGGGACAGAGUGACAGGUGGUGCAUGGUUGUCGUCAGCUCGUGUCGUGAGAUGUUGGGUUAAGUCCCGCAACGAGCGCAACCCUUGACCUUAGUUGCCAGCAUUCAGUUGGGCACUCUAAGGUGACUGCCGGUGACAAACCGGAGGAAGGUGGGGAUGACGUCAAAUCAUCAUGCCCCUUAUGACCUGGGCUACACACGUGCUACAAUGGGUGGUACAAAGGGUUGCAAAGCCGCGAGGCCGAGCCAAUCCCAAAAAGCCACUCUCAGUUCGGAUUGUAGGCUGCAACUCGCCUACAUGAAGCCGGAAUUGCUAGUAAUCGCGGAUCAGCAUGCCGCGGUGAAUACGUUCCCGGGCCUUGUACACACCGCCCGUCACACCACGAGAGUUUGUAACACCCGAAGCCGGUGGGGUAACCUUUGGAGCCAGCCGUCGACGGUGAUCG
RNAcentral lists this ribosomal RNA (1129 nucleotides) under Fictibacillus sp. Its description in RNAcentral is "bacterial SSU rRNA". It matches the Rfam family "Bacterial small subunit ribosomal RNA", at positions 342 to 1468 of the family's 1533-position model. Lineage: Bacteria; Bacillati; Bacillota; Bacilli; Caryophanales; Fictibacillaceae. The record is from RNAcentral.